This 250-nucleotide unclassified non-coding RNA is filed under the name uncultured Patescibacteria group bacterium. Its description in RNAcentral is "contains 16S-23S intergenic spacer region". It matches the Rfam family "Bacterial small subunit ribosomal RNA", at positions 524 to 776 of the family's 1533-position model. The record is from RNAcentral.
UACGAAGGGUGCAAGCGUUGUCCGGACUUAUUGGGCGUAAAGCGUUUCGUAGGCGGUUUAGCAAGUCAUACUUCAAAGCCUCCCGCUUAACGGGAGAAAGGGGUGUGAUACUGCUGGACUGGAAGAAUGUAGGGGCUACUGGAACUUAUCAUGUAGGAGUGAAAUCCGUUGAUAUGAUAAGGAACACCAAGGGCGUAGGCAGGUAGCUGGGCAUUUCCAUGUACCAUUUGGUGCAUGGACUGUGAACCGU